AAAAAAGAAUCUUUUAAAUACAAUAGAAAAGAUUAAAACUUUUUAUCAAUAAUAUCCAUUAAAAUCAAGAUAAAGAGUCAAGCAAUUUUCUAUUAUUAAAAGAAAGAUGCUCAAUGAAAAUUAUAUCCUAUCUUUAAUCUUUCAUUAUAAUUUUUUUUAUAUUAGUAAUGCUAAUAAGCUAAAGAAUCUACAAUUGGUAGAUUCAACUUAAGAGCUAUUUUUUGCUAACUUAUUGGAUAAGAUAUUGUGAUUGUCAUAACUUUUAAGAUGACAUAACUAAGAUAAAGACCUUCAAGAAUGACAUAUUCUUUAUUGAAUAGAUGGCAAGAUACAAUGCAUUUGAUAUCAUGACCUUAAAAGAUACUCUCAAUGUUUGAUGAUUUUAUUAGAGGUAAAAAUGACUUGUCAUAGUAUAAUCAAUGCUUUUUUUGAAAAGAGUUAUGAAAGUCUCAAUAAUAAUCAAAUAAUAAGGUGAUCUUCUUGCCUUUAAAUAAGACAUUAUCAAUAGCUAAAAAGACCUAUUAACUAUCUUCAAAGGAAAUAACAAUCAAAAUAUGUAGCAAAUAUAAUUUGUUGCAUCUUAGACUUCAUCAUGUGAUCACUACUUCUUAUCGAACUUAUUCCUAAAAAGAAAAAUAAUGUCAUAGACAUAUUUAUUAUUAAUAGUUAUUUAGGUAGUAUUAAUUGAUAAAAAAAUAAAAAUAUGUUAAUUUAUUAAUAUCUUUUAGAUAAGCUUCUUAGAAGCUUCAUAGAUAUAUUUUUACUUUUAUAAAUAGAUCACUUUUAUACAUAUCUAUAGAUGAUUAAUAGGUUAGAAACUUGGCAAAUAAAUUAACUACAUUUUACAUGUAUUAAUAACUUAUAGAAUAAGCUAACUACGUAGCAUAUAUAUAGAAAACUUAUCUUGUAAGUUAGAUAUGUAUCUUGCAAAUUAGACACAUGUUGGAGGUCUUAUAGAAUAUUGCUGCAUAGGUCUUAGGUAGAUAGCAUAUAUAGAAAAAAUGAAAUGGAAUUAGUCUAUCUCAAAAAUUUAAAAUCCUUUAAAUCCAUAAUAAUAUAAAUUCCAUCACAAUAUAAGAUAAAGGACUACAAUAAAUAAAAAAAUAAAAUAUAAUUCAAUAAAAAGAUGUAAAAUCAAACUUUAUUAGAAGAAAGGGUCUGAAGCCAUACUUGACUAGUUGCCCAAAUGGCCUUGGCUAAUCCUAUUUAUACUUUAUUCCAUUAUCUCAAAAUUUUCUAAAAUAUUCUUAAUAGUAGAUCUCACUUAGAUAACUACUUUAAGCUCUUUCAAGAAUGUUUUAUGGUAGGUCCUAUAUGGCCUUUUAAUCUUGUUCCAAUUCUAAAAACUUCUAUAAACUUCUCAAAUAUGGCUCCAACUAUAUAUUCCUAUGUGUAAAUAAUACAAAUAUCUUAUUUAUACCCUGUUAUAAUUAAUUUUCUUCCAUUAAUACAAAACAUCUUUAUUUUAUUUUUGAUGGUAUCUCUAAAAAAAUUCUUGGCAAUGAAUGUAGUUUUGUGUAGGUUUUCACAUUGCAUCAUAGAGAAAAUAAUUUUUCUAAAGGACUUUUUAUUGAAGUUGUAGAUGUCCACUAUGAUGAAAAAAUUAGCAAUGUUCGAAAAUAUUGUCUACUUCAUACUCUAAUUGAUUAUCAACUUUAAUUAUUAGUGGUGGUAAUUGAUGUCAAUUUGGAAAGCGCUUUUGCUCAAUAUGAAAUAUGGAAGAUUGAAUGGAUCCAAAUAUGUGGUAGAAGCUCAAGAUAGUAUGCAACAUCAAAAAUCAUUGUAGAAAUGAAGAAAGGUCUAAGCUAUAGAGGUGUCACUUUAUAAAUUUGAGUUGAUCUAACAAGUGGCAAGUUGGCAUUAGAGAGUAAUACAUAAUCACCUUCUUGAAAGGUCUUAUGUUGCGAGUGGUUAUCUACAUACUGCUUUUAUUGAUUGUGCAAUAAAAAUGAUGUGUCAUGCCUCUUGUAAGGUCAUUGUAAGCUAUUAUAUAAACUCUUCCAUUCUCAAGUUAUUAGUGUGAAUGGAAUGAUGGAGAAUUGCUAGUAUAACUAGAUAUUGAUCAAUGCUAAGAAAGAAUACUAAAUGAUCGUAAUUUGCUUGAAUACUCUUAUUGUACGAAAACUCCAAAGGCAUCAAAUAUUCAUCUCAAUCAUUAUCAUGAACUACUACAAAUGUUUGUAGUAUAUCUUCUAAGAUUAAAUUUACAUGUGCUGUUUGAUAUUUUUUUGGAUGUGGUAGGCUAUGGACAUGGCAAGUUGUAUGUCAAGUAGCUUAAACAAGGUCUUCCAAAAACUUUCCAUGAAGUAUAGAUCUUGAUCUAAAAUGAUGAUAUAAAGUAAUCCAUAGUGAUAAAAGAUAGUCUCAAAGAUGAUCCAUGUAAAUACUGAGGCAUCAAUAUCUAAGUACACUGCAUCCAAGUAAAAUUACUUUGAGAGUUGGUCCACAAAGAUAAUAACUCCAAUAUAAUUGUAAAGUAUCUAUGGAAAAUAUAUAAUGAGAUCUGUAAUUACGUGCUUCCAACGUAUUAUAGAUAGUGGAAUUUGCUGCAAUAGUUCGAGAAAUGUUGCAUUGUGUACUUUAUUAUGUUGGCAUGACUUGCAAAAGAAUACAAAAGUUUAAACAUCACGAUCCAAACUUAUCUAAAACUAUAUCCUUGAGAUCUGUUCUAAAGUCUUUUUACAUCUUAGAGGUCUAGAUAUUAGCAUGUCAGAGUAUACAUAUCCAGAGUAUAAUAUUGUCAGGUUCAUAAAUUUACUUCUUGAAAUAGAGUAAGCCAUCACUAAGACUAUAAUCUCAAUAUUCUACAUUGUCCCUCUCCAAUCAAUUGUUAACUAUCUUGAAAUAAGCAUCGAAAUACGUAGCUUCCUUUUAUUUUGCCUCUUUGAUUAGCUUCAAAAUGAUACUACUAAUCAUACCAAUUUUUGACUUAUCCCUUGAUUCUAUCCUCAAAUUUGGUCUCUAAAAUAAAUUAUCUAGUAUAGUAUAUUAUAGCCUUUGCUUAUAUUUAAGUUAAAAAUUGAAAAGUUGCAACUAUUCUUUUCAAUAAUGAUGUUAUUUCAAAUUUUUGAGAUUCAAAUUAUAUAAGAGGGGUCAAUACUCAGUCGAAAUAAUUACUAGUUUUUUUAACAUAUAAUAUUACCACACCUUUGUAGCAUAUACAAUUAUUAAUUGCUCUAAAUUACAUGCAAAGUAAUUGCACUCUGCUCUUUUGAGCUUACAUGAUUUAUAUACCAUAAGUUGAAGAUUCCUACCAAAAUCUUAUUGAAAGAAUGCUCUAAUAGCAAAAUAGAAAGUAUCAAUGUCAACUAUACAAUGAAGGUUGGAAUCAUAAGGUUGUAAUAUUGAAGCAAUAAUAAGUACCUUUUUCAACCUAUCAAAGGUACUUUAUUAUUCUAGUUUUCAUUCAAAUUUGGCACCUUAUUCUAAUAGGCUUAUCAAUAAUACAACAAUGUAUUUGUUCAUAUGACCUAUGAAAGAGGCUAAAGCAUUAGUGAGGCCAAAAGAUAAAACAAGCAAUUUGAAAUGUCCAUAGCACGUACAAAAUGUCAACUUUUUUAUAUCCUUUUUUAAGAUAGGUGUCUACCAAUAGCAACUCUGGAAGUCCAAAUUUCUUAAGAUGGUCGCACCUUGAAGUUGAUAAAAAAAUGUCAUCCAUGCAUAGAAGUGGAUAUGCAUUUCUAACAAUUUAUUUAUUGAAGACUCAAUAAUUGAUAUAAAGCCAAAAUCUACCAUCCUUCUUGGAUGCAAAGAAUAUAGAUACUUCCCAUAGCGAUGUGCUUUUUCAAAUGAGGCCCUUCUCUAAAAAUUCAUCCAAUGUCUUUCAAAUCUCUUCAAGUUCAUUUGGUAUAAGGUGAAAAAUUGACCGAUUUAUCGAUUUGGCUCCAAGCAAUAGUUCUAUUGAGAAGGAGGCACCUUGAUCAAGAAAUAUGCCACUAAGUAGGUUGUUUAGAAAGAUAUCUUAAUCUUGUAAAAGUUGUUCUACCUAUUCUAUUCUUUUGAUUAUCUUUCCCGCUAUUUACUUAAGAUUUGGAACCACCAUAUAUACAUGUUGCUUAUGUUGUAGUUGCUUCUUUAUAAAGAUCAUUUCUACAAAUAAGUCUUUAGCUAGAGAUUAUUUUUCUUCUUCACUCAAUGUGAAAGUACAAAGAGUCACCUUGCAUCUACCAUCUUUGAAGAAGAACAUCAUUGCUUGCCAAUCAAUUUAUUUAUUUUUUACUUCUAGCCAUGGCAUGCCAAAAAUAACAUCAAAUCUUAGCAUUAUUACUUUAAACUUUUCUCGUAAGAUAUAAGUGCCAAUCAACUUCAAUGUUUCUUCUUCACAUGAGUCAUCUAAUAUAUUCUCUUAGUCAUGUGCAAGGUAUAUAUUCUCUCUUUUGAUUAUCUUGUUUUUAAUUUCAAGUGGACCAAUAAAAUUAGUCGAGAUAUUUUUUUUUUAUAGAGCCAUAAUCCACAAGUACUUAACAUAGCUAUCUUCUUAGUUAUUUCAUUAGAUACUCUAUUCAAUCUUUUUUAUAAUUAUUUCAAGCUAUGGCAUUUGUCUUUGAGAGACAAUAGCUAUUCCUAGUAUUGAUUCUCUGUGCUUUUACUAAGAAGCCUCAUUUCCCUACUCUAUUUUGUUAUCGACUUAGUGAAUCUCAAGAUUGUAAACCUACCUUGAUUUUUUAGUACUUAAAUUUUGACAUUUUGGACAACCUCCAAUCUGAUGGCUUAACUCCCAAUAAUAAAAACACAAUCUCUUUUGCACCAAUAUUUGUUAUCUUUGUAAUAUCAAUGAUUCUUGUAAAGCAUCAAUCUCCAUUGGUAUUGGUUGUUGUGUUAUAGUAUAAGAUAGUGGCAUAAGACUCUGUGAUAUAGGUCGUGUUCCACAAUUUUUGAAAUCUAUAGCAUCAACUCUCUUUGCAAUCCUAAUUUUUUCUUCAAAUAUUUGUGGAUCAAAUAUUCUACCACUUGUUGGAUCUCAAGUUUUGACCCUUGUACAAACUAAUCUAUUAUCUUUGUUUAUAAAAUAUUGUCAAUUUUAAAACAUAAGAACUUAAAUCAAAAGUUAUAAUCUUAUACCAACGUCGAUUAUAUAAGAUUAUCUAAAUGACCACAUGCUAUCUUUUUCACAUUGAUAAGCUGAAAUUGAUUCUUAAAUUUGGUUUCAAACUCUCUUCAAUUACAAAAUCCACCUUGAACUCUAUUGCUUUGAAUUUGAUGUUGCCACCAAGUGGUUGUCCCAUCUCUCAAAUAGCUUACUAUAUACAUAUUUUUUUUUAAUGUUAUUUGCGUCGAAUAGUUAGAGGUGUUGUUGCAUGGUGAAGAGCCAUUGGCAUACAUCUUCUUGCCUUGAAAUCUCAAAGUAUAUAUCAGACUUAUUCAAUUUCAGUCUAACAAAUGUCAACUUCUUUAUUUUAGAUGCUUCUAUUUAACUUUGCAGAGUAGCUAUCUUACCUAAGAGAUGUUGUAUAUGAGCUUCCAUCUAGAAUUGCUUCGCCAUAUCUUCCAUGUUGUAAUUUUUUCACUAGAUUCUACUCUUAUAAUGUCUUCUCUCGUUCCAACUAGCUUCUUAAGAGAAUCUUGUAGUAGCUUCAAUAAACUAUCCAAUGUAACUACAAUAAUUGACCUCAAACUAAACAAUGGCUAUUAACAAACUACCAAAAAAUAGUCUAAUACUUGUUUAAAUACCAAUAAAAUAAGAUUGAACUAUCUCAAAAAUCUGAAAACUUUCUAAUCUAUAACAAUAUAAAUUCUAUUACAAUAUAGAAUAGAGUAGACUACAACAAAAGAAAAUAGAAUAAAUUUGAAUAGAAAGAUGCAAAACCAAACUUUACUACAAAAAAAGAUUUGAAGCUAUACUAGGCUAGAUGCCCAAAUGGCCCUAGUCAAUCCUAUUUAUACUUUGUUCAAUCAUCCCAAAACUUUCUAAAAUAUUCUUAAUAGUAGACUUCACUUAGAUAACCAUCCUAAGUUCUUUCAAGAAUGUUCCUUGAUUGAUCCUACCUAGCCCACUAAUCUAGUUCCAAUUUUAGAAACUUCUAUAAACUUAUCAAACAUAACUCCAACUAUCUAUUCCUAUGUGAUAAUAAUAUAAAUAUCUUAUUUAUACCUUAUCACAGGCAAAAAUGAAGCGUUCUUUAUUCUUGUCAACUUUGUACUUGCUUCCAAUUUAAUUUCAUGAUAUUCUAGCUUCCUAAUAUUUAAUAAUAACCAUUCUAAUUUUUUAUUAAAAAUAUUAUUUUCUUAUUUUUAUUUUAUUAUCUUUCUUUGAUUCAUUUUUCACUCAAUUACAUACAUUCUUUGAGUUCUUAUCUUUGACAAAAUAUUUGAUUUAAUUCUUAGUCUUAUUAUGCAAAAUACAAGAUUGAACAAUGAUGAGACUCUAGCCUUAAUGAAAUAAGACCAAUCUAUCUCAAAAAUCCAAGAUCCUUCAAAUCUAUAGUAACAAUAAGCUUCAUCACAAAGUAGGACAAAAUAGACCAGAAUAAAAUUAAAUAGAACUAAAUAGAACUAAUUAGAAUACGAUAUAAAAGAUAAAAUUGAGAAAAUAGAAAUAGAAUAAAAUAAAACUAAAUAAAAAGAUAUAAAACCAAAUUUUAUUAAGAGAAAGGAACUAAAGCCAUACUUUACCAAAUGUCCCAAAAGAUCUUGACUAAUUCUAUUUAUACUUUAUUCUACCACCCUAUAUAUUCUAGAAUAUUCUUACAUGAUGGAUCCUACUUACAUAACCACCUUAAAUUCCUUCUAGUGGAUUCCAUGAUGGAUCCCACUUGAUCCACUAAUCUAACUCUAAUUCUAAAAACUUCCAUGGUUCUAACUAUCAAUCUCUAUAUAUCAAUAAUAUAAUUAUCUUCUUUAAAUCUUGUUACAAUUAAUCUUCUUCUACUAAUGCUAAACGUCCUUGUUUUGCCUCUAAUGGUAUCUCCAAAUUAUCUUUUAAUAAUAGAUUUUGUAUAAGUUCCUACAUUAUAUCAUAGAUGGAAUAAACUUUUCAAAGAAAUUUAUAGUAAAGUUGUCGACGUCUACUACCACAGCAAAGAUAGCAAUGCUCCAAAAUAUUGUCUACUUCAUAUUCUUGUUGGUCAUCAACUUCAAUUCGUGGUAGUGGUAAUUGAUGUCGAUCUGAAAAGCACUUUGUUUCGAUAUGAAAUUCCUUCAGUUAUAAAAUAUAGAAGUCUAGAUGGACCUAAAUAUAUAAUGGAAGCUCCAAGCAGUAUGCAAUAUCAAAAAUCAAUGCAAAAAUAUGGAAAGGUCCAAGCAAUUAAGAUGUUAGUUUAUGGAUUUGAAUUGAUGUAGCAAGUGACAAGUUGGCAUUGAAGAAUAACACUUGAUCAAUCUCCAGAAGGUCUUUUGUUGCAUGUGGUUAUUUAUAUACUACUUCUAUCAAUUUUAUGGAAUAAGGAGGCAAUGCCAUCCUUCUUGUAAGGCUAUUAUAAGUUGUUGUAUAAAUUCUUCUAUUAUCAAGUUGUUGAUAUCAUCGAGGCGAUGGAGAUUUACUUGUGUAAUUGGAUGUUGAACGGUAUUAAGGAAAAAUGGUAAAUGACUGAUACUUCCUAAAAUAUUAUCAUUAUAAGCAAACUCCAAGGACAUCAAGUAUUCAUUCCAAUCAUUAUGAUGAACUACCACAAAUACUUACAAUAUAUUUUCUAAGGUCCGAAUUGCAUGCUCUAUUUGUCUAUUUAUCUUGAGAUGGAAGAUUGUAAAAAUAACAAGUCUUAUACCUAAUAGCUUGAACAACGCUUACCAAAAACUUCUCAUAAAAUAUAGAUCCUGAUCUAAAAUGAUGAUAUGAGAUAAUUUAUGGUGACAAAAAUUGAUAUCAAAGAAGACUUGUAUAAAUACUGAAGCAUCAAUAUUUGAGUACAUCGUGGUCAAAUGAUGUUGCUUUAAAAGUCAAUCCAUAAAGACAGUAAUCUUGGUAUAAUUAUGACACAUUUGUAGCAAAUACAUAAUGAGGUCCAUAGUCACCUGCUUCCAACGUAUUGUAAAUAAUGGAAUUAGCUGCAAUACUCUAAGAGGCAUUGCAUUGUAUAUUAUAUUAUAUUGAUAUGAUUUAUAAGAGCAUACAAGAGCUUCAAUAUCACGAUCCAAACUUACCCAAAACCAUAUUCUUGAAAUUCCUUCAAGAGUCUUUUCUUGCUCCAAAUAUCUAGAUAUUAGAAUAUUAUAUCCCUCUUAAAGUAUGUAUGUCUAAAAUAUAGCAUCAUUGAGUACGUAAAUCUGCUACUUGAAAUAGAACAAGCCAUUACUAAGAUUUUAAUCUUGAUAGUAUAUAUUAUUUACCUUUAACCAAUUGCUAAUCAUCUUAAAAUAAGUAUCUUGAUAUGUUACUUUCUUUCAUUCUGCCUCUUUGGUUAGAUUUGAAAUGACACUACUAAUGGUGGCGACUUCUAUUUUUUUCCCAAUUUGUCUUUCAAAUCUGAUCUUUAUAAUAGGUUGUCUUAUAUAGUAUGUUUUUAACCUUAUUUAUACUCAAGCUAGUUAUCAAAAAGCUACAAUUGUUCUUUUCAAUAAUAAUGUUAAAAUUUCACAUUUUUUAGAUGUAAAUUGUAUAGUAAGGAUCAAUGGUCAAUCCAAACAACCAUUGGUUUUUCCAACUAAGGGUAUCACUAUAUCUUUAUGGUAUGUAUAAUUGUUAAUUACUCUCGAUUUUGUAUAAAAUAAUUGCACAUUGUCCUUCUAAGCUUAUAUGAUUUAAAUACCACAUAUUAAAGGCUUCUACUAUAGUUUUAUUAAAAGACGGUUGCUAUAGCAAAAUCAAAAGCAUCAAUGUCAAGCAUAUAAAGAAGGUUGGAAUCAUUUGAUUGCAAUAUUUGAGCAAUAAUGAGAGCAUCUUUCAACCUAUCAAAGACACUUUGUUGCUCUAGUUUCUAUUCAAAUAGGGCAUCUUUCUCAAAAAGAUUUGUUAAUGAGACGCCAAUGUUUACAAAUUACCAAACAAAAUGGCAAUAAUAUCCAACAAGGCCUAAAAAUGAGCAAACUUCAAAAGCAUCUUUAGGGGUUGGCUAAUCCUCUACUUUCAUCUUAUCUUGUUUUAUAUGUACACCUUCAAAAAAACACCACAUAACCAAAAAAGUGACUUUUAACUUCCGAAGUUCAUAUAUUUGAUUGCUUGCAAUAGAAGUGACUAUCUUGUAACUGGUGUAGCACUUCUCGUAGGUGUUGCUCAUACUCUUUAGGAGUUUUACUAUAUAUGAGGAUAUCAUUAAUGAAGCCAAAUAUAUACUUAUCCAAAAGGUCCUAAAGUAAUCUGUUCAUGUUAUUCAUAAAAGAAGUUAGAGCAUUAGUAAGACCAAAUAAUAAAAUCAACCAUUUAAAAUAUCCAAAGCGCAUAUAAAAUAUUAUCUUUUUUACAUCUUCACUUAUAAUAAGUAUCUACCAAUAGCUACUCCAAAGAUCCAAUUUAUUAAAAAUGAUUGUAAUUUGAAGUUGGUUAAAAAGAUCAUCCACGCAUAAAAGUAGAUAUGCAUUUUUAAUAGUCUCCUUAUUAAGGCCUCGAUAGUCAAUGCAAAGGUAAAGUCCACCAUCUUUCUUCACUGCAAAGAGUACAAGUCCUUCCUAUGGUCAUGUGAUUUUCCAAAUGAAGCCUUUCUUGAAGAGUUUAUCCAAUAUCUUCCACAACUCUUCAAGUUAUUUUAGUGCUAUAUGCUAAAUUCGUUGACUUAUUAGUUUGAUUCCAAACAAUAGUUCUAUUUGAAAGGAAGCACUUCAAUUAAGAGGCACACCACAAGAUAAGUCGGUUAGAAAGACAUUCCAAUGUUUUUGUAUGAGUUACUCUAUCCAUUGUCGUAAUAUGUGAAGUCUUACUUGAAAAUGCUCCAAGCACCUGGCUACAGAAGAUAGAAUGGAAAUUGCAAUAAAAAAUCCUAACUCUAGUACAAUACUAAAAAUGCUAAGUAAGCUUUCAUCAAAUUCAAAGAAAUCUUAAAGGAAUUACAAACGAAUAAUAAAAAAUCUUAAAAAAAUAUUAGAAUGAUUACAAAUAUAUUUCAAAUAAAUUUCAAUCCAAUCUUAAUUUAAUCCUAUUUAAAAUCCUAUUAGACUUCAUUCAAACUUUAGGCCAAAAACUAUCUAAAUUUUAAACCCUAAAUAAAUCCUAAAUAAAUCUUAAACACACCCUAAUCAAACGUUAAUAAAAUCCUAAAUCUUAAAUCAAAUCCUAACCAAAUCCUAAAUCUUAAACCUAAAUCUAAUCAAAUCCUAAAUCCUAAAUCAAAUCCUAACCAAAUCCUAAACCUUAAAUUAAAUCCUAACUAAAUCCUAAAUCUUAAACCAAACCCUAAUCAAAUUCUAAAUCCUAAAUCCUAAAUCAAAUCUUAACUAAAUCCUAAUCUAAUCCUAAAUCCUAAAUCAAACCCUAA
RNAcentral lists this long non-coding RNA (10343 nucleotides) under Physcomitrium patens. RNAcentral's name for it is "long non-coding RNA (PPAT_LNC009443)". Lineage: Eukaryota; Viridiplantae; Streptophyta; Bryopsida; Funariales; Funariaceae. The record is from RNAcentral.